RNAcentral lists this long non-coding RNA (461 nucleotides) under Lathyrus oleraceus (garden pea). RNAcentral's name for it is "Pisum sativum (pea) long non-coding RNA (PSAT_LNC003898)". Lineage: Eukaryota; Viridiplantae; Streptophyta; Magnoliopsida; Fabales; Fabaceae. The record is from RNAcentral.
CACACAAAAGCCAACUUAUCCCAUUAUAUCUCCACCUCUCUGAUAAAAUUUAUUUAUCACAUCUUCUCCUCCAAAGUACUGGACCACCACUGCACCUUUAUUUCUUUUCCACCUUCUUCUACUUCAACAUCACACUACAUAACCCUCUCUCGCUCACCACCAUUUUCGUCGACAGAAACCGUCAUGGACCAACCCCCUGUCUGCACCACAACACAAUGCUAUAACCAAACCAUCACCAACCCACCAUACACGAUCAUCAUUCCAAGCUUGACACAACCGAACACACAUCUUCACCGCCACCUUAUAACCAACGUCCACCCUUUGCCAUCACCUCUAACUAACUCUCAACCUCCAUAAUCCACCAAACACUCUUCAAACCGUGAACACCAUAAGCUUUCAUUCAGAACCACCGCAACAACUCUGACACCACCGCAGUAAGAUUUUCUUAUCCUUGAUCUUAU